RNAcentral lists this ribosomal RNA (850 nucleotides) under uncultured Alphaproteobacteria bacterium. RNAcentral describes it as "bacterial SSU rRNA". It matches the Rfam family "Bacterial small subunit ribosomal RNA", at positions 639 to 1500 of the family's 1533-position model. Lineage: Bacteria; Pseudomonadati; Pseudomonadota; Alphaproteobacteria. The record is from RNAcentral.
AGCUAGAGUAUGAUAGAGGAAAGCAGAAUUUCUAGUGUAGAGGUGAAAUUCGUAGAUAUUAGAAAGAAUACCAAUUGCGAAGGCAGCUUUCUGGAUCAUUACUGACACUGAGGAACGAAAGCAUGGGUAGCGAAGAGGAUUAGAUACCCUCGUAGCCCAUGCCGUAAACGAUGUGUGUUAGACGUUGGAAAUUUAUUUUCAGUGUCGCAGCGAAAGCGAUAAACACACCGCCUGGGGAGUACGACCGCAAGGUUAAAACUCAAAUGAAUUGACGGGGACCCGCACAAGUAGUGGAGCAUGUGGUUUAAUUCGAAGAUACGCGCAGAACCUUACCAACACUUGACAUGUUCGUCGCGACUCUAAGAGAUUAGAGUUUUCGGUUCGGCCGGACGAAACACAGGUGCUGCAUGGCUGUCGUCAGCUCGUGUCGUGAGAUGUUGGGUUAAGUCCCGCAACGAGCGCAACCCUCACUUUUAGUUGCCAUCAUUAAGUUGGGCACUCUGAAAGAACUGCCAGUGAUAAGCUGGAGGAAGGUGGGGAUGACGUCAAGUCCUCAUGGCCCUUACGUGUUGGGCUACACACGUGCUACAAUGGUAUCUACAACAGGAAGCAAGACUGCGAGGUCAAGCAAAUCCUUAAAAGAUACCUCAGUUCGGAUUGCACUCUGCAACUCGAGUGCAUGAAGCUGGAAUUACUAGUAAUCGUGGAUCAGCGUGCCACGGUGAAUGCGUUCCCGGGUCUUGUACACACCGCCCGUCACACCAUGGGAGUUGGUUCUACCUUAAGGCAAGGUUUAAUACCCUUGACCACGGUAUAGUCAGCGACUGGGGUGAAGUCGUAACAAGGUAAC